GCAGCGAGCUUCCACAUCUCAUUUUUCACUUCAUUCCUUGAGGCGCCUCAACUUCUCCAAAAUGAGCUUCAGAUCAACCCGCACGACUAGAUCGUCUCCCCACAUCUCCAUGACCCGCUCUUCUCCCCAGUACAGCAGUGCCAGCCUUUAUGGUGGUGCUGGUGGACAAGGCACCCGCAUCUCCUAUGGCUCAGCAGCUUCACUGCGUUCCGCUGGACCAGUAACCUCUUCUUCGAGCGCCUACAAGCUGAGCAACAGAAUGGGUGGAGGUCAGGGUGCAGGUUUUGGUGGUGCUGGUGCAUCCAUGGCAAGCGGAGGCGGUGGUGGUGCUGGGAUACAGGGCAACGAGAAGGGGGCCAUGCAAAACCUCAACGAUCGCCUGGCCAAUUACCUGGAGACGGUGAGGAACCUGGAGCAGGCCAACCAGGAGCUGGAGAUGAAGAUCAGGGACGCCCUGGAGAAGGGAGGACCCGACAUCAAAGACUACUCCAAGUAUCAACCCAUCAUCGAAGACCUACGACAACAGAUCUUUGACAAAAUAUCGGAGAAUGCUCGUUUUGUGCUCCAGAUGGACAAUGCCCGUCUUGCUGCCGACGACUUUAAAGUAAAGUUUGACAAUGAGAUGGGAAUCCGCCAGUCUGUGGAGGCUGACAUUGUUGGCCUAAAGAAAGUCAUUGAUGACACCAACAUGACCAGGAUGAACAUCGAGAGUGAGAUUGAAGCUGUGAAGGACGAGCUCCUUUUCCUGAAGAAGAACCAUGAGAAUGAGGUGAUGGAGAUGAGGAGUCAGAUCUCCCAUUCCGGCGUGCAAGUGGACGUAGACGCUCCUAAAGGUCAAGACCUGUCCCAGUUAAUGGCGGACGUGAGGUCCAACUACGAGAAGAUCGCUGUGAAGAAUGCGGAGGACCUCAAAUGUUGGCAUGAAAAUCAGAUUUCAGAUGUACAGGUGCAGGUAUCACAGAACACAGAAGCUCUCCAGGGGGCCCAGAUGGAGAUGGGUGACUUAGGCAGACAGUUACAGACCCUUGAAAUUGAACUUGCAUCCCAACAGAGCUUGAAAUCCUCCCUGGAGGACACACUACGCAACACAGAGCAACGAAACAACAUGGAAAUGGAGAAGUACAAUGGCUUUAUUAUUCGUCUGGAAGAGGAGCUGACUAACUUGCGAGCAAACAUUCAGCAACAGACCCAGGACUAUGAGGCGCUCCUAAACAUGAAGAUGAAACUGGAGGCAGAGAUUGCGACUUACAAGACGCUGCUGGAUGGUGGAGACUUCAAGUAAGAGUUCAAAGUGGGGCAGCAGAAAAAAAACUGAUCGAGGCAAAGUGGUGAUGGUGGUGGAGGCUCCAGGAUGCAGUGGACGAGCUGGCGGACACAUUCUAAUUUGGAACCAAGGAUCUGGGACCACCCCAUCGAUGAAAUCAAAGUGACCCACAAUUAAAAAUAAUGGGAAAAAUGUCCUGCUGAUCCAAUCAACUGAAACAAUUUUUGAACCGAGACCACAUGCAGUGUAAAAUCGUGAAUGAUUUGUGUAACUCUGAAUAAAGGCAUUCUUCCACACCACAAUAAAACAUGCAGAGCUGUUAUAACAGCAACCGCUGCCUGCCACUGGUCAGUAAAAUAAAAUAAAACCACUUGUUGACCCACA
RNA transcript from Limanda limanda (common dab), 1648 nucleotides. It is a transcript of the gene named keratin, type I cytoskeletal 18-like, with no coding region annotated. Lineage: Eukaryota; Metazoa; Chordata; Actinopteri; Pleuronectiformes; Pleuronectidae. The record is from RefSeq and is a predicted model, not a curated record. The transcript has 7 exons.